Molecule: ribosomal RNA, 253 nt
Filed under: uncultured bacterium
Lineage: Bacteria
Description: partial 16S ribosomal RNA
Rfam family: Bacterial small subunit ribosomal RNA
Source: RNAcentral
UACGAAGGGGGCUAGCGUUGUUCGGAUUUACUGGGCGUAAAGCGCACGUAGGCGGAUUGUUAAGUCGGGGGUGAAAUCCUGGAGCUCAACUUCAGAAUUGCCUUCGAUACUGGCUUUCUAGAGGCUGGAAGAGGUUAGUGGAAUUCCCAGUGUAGAGGUGAAAUUCGUAGAUAUUGGGAAGAACACCAGUGGCGAAGGCGGCUAACUGGUCCAGAUCUGACGCUGAGGAGCGAAAGCGUGGGGAGCAAACAGG